This 484-nucleotide ribosomal RNA is filed under the name uncultured bacterium. RNAcentral describes it as "partial 16S ribosomal RNA". It matches the Rfam family "Bacterial small subunit ribosomal RNA", at positions 29 to 507 of the family's 1533-position model. The record is from RNAcentral.
AGUGAACGCUGGCGGCAGGCCUAACACAUGCAAGUCGAGCGGCAGCGCGGGGGCAACCCUGGCGGCGAGCGGCGGACGGGUGAGGAAUUCGUCGGAAUCUGCCUUUUUGUGGGGGAUAACGUAGGGAAACUUACGCUAAUACCGCAUACGUCCUACGGGAGAAAGUGGGGGACCGCAAGGCCUCACGCAGAAAGAUGAGCCGACGACCGAUUAGCUAGUUGGUGGGGUAAAGGCCCACCAAGGCGACGAUCGGCAGCUGGUCUGAGAGGAUGAUCAGCCACACUGGGACUGAGACACGGCCCAGACUCCUACGGGAGGCAGCAGUGGGGAAUAUUGGACAAUGGGCGCAAGCCUGAUCCAGCCAUGCCGCGUGUGUGAAGAAGGCCUUCGGGUUGUAAAGCACUUUUGUCCGGAAAGAAAUCCCUGGAGCUAAUACCUUCGGGGGAUGACGGUACCGGAAGAAUAAGCACCGGCUAACUUCGUG